Molecule: transfer RNA, 69 nt
Filed under: Heterocephalus glaber (naked mole-rat)
Lineage: Eukaryota; Metazoa; Chordata; Mammalia; Rodentia; Bathyergidae
Rfam family: tRNA
About the family: Transfer RNA (tRNA) molecules are approximately 80 nucleotides in length. Their secondary structure includes four short double-helical elements and three loops (D, anti-codon, and T loops).
Source: Rfam by way of RNAcentral
GGGGAUUUAGCUCAGCAGCACAGCGCCUGCCUGCCAAGCAUGAGGUCCUGAGUUCGAUCCUCAGUACCA